This 468-nucleotide ribosomal RNA is filed under the name uncultured bacterium. Its description in RNAcentral is "partial 16S ribosomal RNA". It matches the Rfam family "Bacterial small subunit ribosomal RNA", at positions 28 to 507 of the family's 1533-position model. The record is from RNAcentral.
GACGAACGCUGGCGGCGUGCUUAACACAUGCAAGUCGAACGGAAAGGCCCUGCUUUUGUGGGGUGCUCGAGUGGCGAACGGGUGAGUAACACGUGAGUAACCUGCCCUUGACUUUGGGAUAACUUCAGGAAACUGGGGCUAAUACCGGAUAGGAGCUCCUGCUGCAUGGUGGGGGUUGGAAAGUUUCGGCGGUUGGGGAUGGACGCGCGGCUUAUCAGCUUGUUGGUGGGGUAGUGGCUUACCAAGGCUUUGACGGGUAGCCGGCCUGAGAGGGUGACCGGCCACAUUGGGACUGAGAGACGGCCCAGACUCCAACGGGAGGCAGCAGUGGGGAAUAUUGCACAAUGGGCGGAAGCCUGAUGCAGCAACGCCGCGUGCGGGAUGACGGCCUUCGGGUUGUAAACCGCUUUCGCCUGUGACGAAGCGUGAGUGACGGUAAUGGGUAAAGAAGCACCGGCUAACUACGUG